AUUAGGGAUUUCUUUGAGAAACAGAAAGGGUUUUGUCUAGCAGUCUGACACACUGCUGCUGUCGGCAUGGCUCAGAAUCCAUCCCCCUUGGAGCAGCUCCUUCAAGAGAGAAGAGCUUUCUCUUGAGGAGUUAAAGCUUUGUGGGGGAAGCAAAGGUGUGCAGAAGAAAUUUUUGUGGAAGAUCAACAGCUGGAGAGCUGUGGAUUCCAUCAUCCAGGUUAGGAAGUCAAGAGUUGAAGUCUCCCCAUGGGAAUAUAGACAUCCUGCUUGCUCCAGGACCAGGGGCCUAACCCCUGG
Molecule: long non-coding RNA, 297 nt
Filed under: Dasypus novemcinctus (nine-banded armadillo)
Lineage: Eukaryota; Metazoa; Chordata; Mammalia; Cingulata; Dasypodidae
Description: lncRNA (ENSDNOG00000052771.1)
Source: RNAcentral